ACCCUCUUCCCUUUCCCAUCGGAUCUGAUUGCUGGUCUUGGUGGUCGUAACGGAGGGAAAGUAACUGUGAACCUUGCCCAUACACUGCAUUGCAGUGUGGCAUAGCAUGUGGGCUUGCUUCAAACAUCU
Perognathus longimembris pacificus (Pacific pocket mouse) is the source of this 129-nucleotide small nucleolar RNA. RefSeq annotates it as small nucleolar RNA SNORA61. Lineage: Eukaryota; Metazoa; Chordata; Mammalia; Rodentia; Heteromyidae. The transcript has a single exon. The record is from RefSeq and is a predicted model, not a curated record.